CCGGCAACGGACAUCUCGGCUCUCGCAUCGAUGAAGAACGUAGCGAAAUGCGAUACAUGGUGUGAAUUGCAGAAUCCCGUGAACCAUCGAGUCUUUGAACGCAAGUUGCGCCCGAGGGACCAUCCCGAGGGCACGC
RNAcentral lists this ribosomal RNA (136 nucleotides) under Eleocharis pachycarpa. Its description in RNAcentral is "5.8S ribosomal RNA". It matches the Rfam family "5.8S ribosomal RNA", at positions 9 to 140 of the family's 154-position model. From Rfam's summary of the family: 5.8S ribosomal RNA (5.8S rRNA) is a component of the large subunit of the eukaryotic ribosome. It is transcribed by RNA polymerase I as part of the 45S precursor that also contains 18S and 28S rRNA. Functionally, it is thought that 5.8S rRNA may be involved in ribosome translocation. The record is from RNAcentral. Lineage: Eukaryota; Viridiplantae; Streptophyta; Magnoliopsida; Poales; Cyperaceae.